CGACCGGCGCACGGGUGAGUAACACGUAUCCAACCUGCCGAUAACUCAGGGAUAGCCUUUCGAAAGAAAGAUUAAUAUCCGAUAGGAUAUCAAGAUCGCAUGAUCUUGAUAUUAAAGAAUUUCGGUUAUCGAUGGGGAUGCGUUCCAUUAGUUAGUUGGCGGGGUAACGGCCCACCAAGACGACGAUGGAUAGGGGUUCUGAGAGGAAGGUCCCCCACAUUGGAACUGAGACACGGUCCAAACUCCUACGGAAGGCAGCAG
This 261-nucleotide ribosomal RNA is filed under the name uncultured bacterium. RNAcentral's name for it is "partial 16S ribosomal RNA". It matches the Rfam family "Bacterial small subunit ribosomal RNA", at positions 92 to 354 of the family's 1533-position model. The record is from RNAcentral.